UGGCCUACUCCUGUUCUUC
Molecule: microRNA, 19 nt
Filed under: Chiloscyllium plagiosum (whitespotted bambooshark)
Lineage: Eukaryota; Metazoa; Chordata; Chondrichthyes; Orectolobiformes; Hemiscylliidae
Description: microRNA PC-3p-1664526_1
Source: RNAcentral